UGCAGUCGAGCGGUAGCACAUAAGAGCUUGCUCUCGGGUGACUAGCGGCGGACGGGUGAGUAAUGUCUGGGAAACUGCCUGAUGGAGGGGGAUAACUACUGGAAACGGUAGCUAAUACCGCAUAACGUCUCUAGACCAAAGGGGGGGACCUUCGGGCCUCAUGCCAUCUGAUGUGCCCAGAUGGGAUUAGCUAGUAUGUGGGGUAACGGCUCACCUAGGCGACGAUCCCUAGCUGGUCUGAGAGGAUGACCAGCCACACUGGAACUGAGACACGGUCCAGACUCCUACGGGAGGCAGCAGUGGGGAAUAUUGCACAAUGGGCGCAAGCCUGAUGCAGCCAUGCCGCGUGUGUGAAGAAGGCCUUCGGGUUGUAAAGCACUUUCAGCGGGGAGGAAGGCGUUAAGGUUAAUAACCUUGGCGAUUGACGUUACCCGCAGAAGAAGCACCGGCUAACUCCGUGCCAGCAGCCGCGGUAAUACGGAGGGUGCAAGCGUUAAUCGGAAUUACUGGGCGUAAAGCGCACGCAGGCGGUCUGUCAAGUCGGAUGUGAAAUCCCCGGGCUCAACCUGGGAACUGCAUUCGAAACUGGUAGGCUAGAGUCUUGUAGAGGGGGGGUAGAAUUCCAGGUGUAGCGGUGAAAUGCGUAGAGAUCUGGAGGAG
This 660-nucleotide ribosomal RNA is filed under the name Klebsiella pneumoniae. Its description in RNAcentral is "bacterial SSU rRNA". It matches the Rfam family "Bacterial small subunit ribosomal RNA", at positions 56 to 706 of the family's 1533-position model. The record is from RNAcentral. Lineage: Bacteria; Pseudomonadati; Pseudomonadota; Gammaproteobacteria; Enterobacterales; Enterobacteriaceae.